UGUAGCUCAGUCGGAUAGAGCGUGGGUCUCCGAAGCCCAAGGUCGUGGGUUCAAUUCCCGCCA
RNAcentral lists this transfer RNA (63 nucleotides) under bovine gut metagenome. It matches the Rfam family "tRNA", at positions 6 to 65 of the family's 71-position model. Rfam says of the family: Transfer RNA (tRNA) molecules are approximately 80 nucleotides in length. Their secondary structure includes four short double-helical elements and three loops (D, anti-codon, and T loops). The record is from RNAcentral.